This is an RNA transcript of Ricinus communis (castor bean), 1146 nucleotides long. It is a transcript of the gene named poly [ADP-ribose] polymerase tankyrase-1, with no coding region annotated. NCBI's taxonomy places the organism in Eukaryota, Viridiplantae, Streptophyta, Magnoliopsida, Malpighiales, Euphorbiaceae. The transcript has 7 exons. The record is from RefSeq and is a predicted model, not a curated record.
UAAAUAAUCGAGCGCAACAGCGCCUCCUUCUCUAAGCUUCUUCUACGCGAAUUCUAAGAACAGUGCAGAGUUUACAUAAUAAACGGAAAGACAAAGAGGAGAUAAAAAUGGCAGUGCAUCGCGAUGGUUUAAUAGAGGAAGAAGAAAACGAAGAAGACAAUGCACUCUUUGAAGAACACGACUUAAUCCACCUUGAUUCCGAUACUCCACCUCACCUCCAGGAACUCGCCGCCGCUGCUCAGGUUGGCGACGUCGACGCUCUUCGCCGUGCCCUAGAUAACUUGAAUGGAAGCAUUGAUGAACCAGUAGAGGAUGGGGAUACAGCUCUUCAUCUAGCCUGUCUUUAUGGUUAUUUACCCUGUGUUGAGCUACUUCUGGAAAGGGGAGCAAACUUAGAGGCUAAGGAUGAAGACGGAGCAAUACCUCUGCAUGAUGCCUGUGCGGGAGGUUUUGCUCAGAUAGUCCAAUUGCUGUUGAAUAGUGCUAAUGGCUCAGAGUGCAUCAGAAGGAUGUUAGAAACAGUUGAUGCUGAGGGCGAUACUCCACUUCACCAUGCAGCAAGAGGUGAACACGUGGAUGUUAUAAGAUUAUUGCUGGCUUCUGGUGCGUCUGUGACAAAAACAAAUGCAUAUGGAAAGAGUCCUACUGAGCUACCUGAACCAGACACAGAAGCUAGGAGGGUACUGGAAUGUGCUGCUAGUGCUGUUUCAUGCCAGUAGGCUACAACUGUAUUCCCUCUCGGAUGAUACAGCAAUGUAUUUCUAAUUCUUGUUAGCCAAUUAACCGCAACAACCACCACCACCACCACCACCUGGUGGCCCUGUGUAUGUUGCCGGUUUCUCCGGUGGUUUAAGCUCUACCGAUUUUGGUUCUGGUGCAGUGGCUUUUGGCUUCAAUUCCUCCUGUCGUUUCUUCUCUAAUUCCUGCAGCAUCUACAAGACAAAAUAUAUGUCAGUUCCAGAAUGCCAGAAUCCUUCGAUUUAUUGUCCAUUUGGACUCUCAUGCAACUUGUAGUUUUUUUUCCUUUAGAAAGGGUUCUCAAUCUUCAAGGAGUUUAAGACAAGACCACUUUCUCCCGAAAAAAUGGAACAUUUAAUGAUUAAUACGUAAUAAUUAAAAAUAAUAUAAAUGUAUUAUUUAUUUAUC